Molecule: transfer RNA, 72 nt
Filed under: Kitasatospora xanthocidica
Lineage: Bacteria; Bacillati; Actinomycetota; Actinomycetes; Kitasatosporales; Streptomycetaceae
Description: tRNA-Arg
Source: RNAcentral
GGCGGUGUCGGUGCGGUCGCGCUGGCCGGCCACGACCUGGCCGGGCACCCGUACGGUCGGGUCGUUGCCGCC